Molecule: ribosomal RNA, 223 nt
Filed under: uncultured bacterium
Lineage: Bacteria
Description: partial 16S ribosomal RNA
Rfam family: Bacterial small subunit ribosomal RNA
Source: RNAcentral
AAAGACCGUCCCACGUUCGGAUUGCAGGCUGCAACCCGCCUGCAUGAAGUUGGAAUCGCUAGUAAUCGCGGAUCAGCAUGCCGCGGUGAAUACGUUCCCGGGCCUUGUACACACCGCCCGUCACACCAUGAGAGUCGGGGACACCCGAAGUCCGUAGUCUAACCGCAAGGGGACGCGGCCGAAGGUGGAUUCGAUAAUUGGGGUGAAGUCGUAACAAGGUAUC